This is a non-coding RNA of Zonotrichia albicollis (white-throated sparrow), 100 nucleotides long. The record is from RefSeq and is a predicted model, not a curated record. Lineage: Eukaryota; Metazoa; Chordata; Aves; Passeriformes; Passerellidae.
CCCAUUUCCAGGCGAAGAAAACGGUGAAAAAACGAGUUCUGAACCCCAAAAAAACCCCAACCAGCACCAAGAAAGUCCCGAGCACCAAAGUCCUGACAGG